GAUUAACGCUGGCGGCGUGCCUAACACAUGCAAGUCGAGCGGCAGCGAGUUUUACACUGACUUCUGGAAGCUUCUAGUUGAAAGAGAAGAUUUAUUCAAGAAUUUUGUGUAAAAUGUCGGCGAGCGGCGGACGGCUGAGUAACGCGUGGGAACGUACCCCAAAGUGAGGGAUAACGCAUCGAAAGGUGUGCUAAUACCGCAUAUGGUCUUCGGAUUAAAGCCUUCGGGCGCUUUGGGAACGGCCUGCGUAAGAUUAGAUAGUUGGUGGGGUAAUGGCCUACCAAGUCGACGAUCUUUAACUGGUUUGAGAGGAUGAUCAGUCAGGCUGGAACUGAGACACGGUCCAGACUCCUACGGGAGGCAGCAGUGAGGAAUCUUCCACAAUGGGCGAAAGCCUGAUGGAGCAACGCCGCGUGCAGGAUGAAGGCCUUCGGGUUGUAAACUGCUUUUAUAAGUGAGGAUUAUGACAGUAACUUAUGAAUAAGGAUCGGCUAACUACGUG
Molecule: ribosomal RNA, 502 nt
Filed under: uncultured bacterium
Lineage: Bacteria
Description: partial 16S ribosomal RNA
Rfam family: Bacterial small subunit ribosomal RNA
Source: RNAcentral